UAGUCAAUUAAAACUUGUUGUUGGCCUAGUUGGUUCAUGAAAAAACCUCUAUACUGCAUCAUGAACCAACUAGGCCAACAACAAGUUUUAAUUGACUACAU
This 101-nucleotide microRNA precursor is filed under the name Ixodes scapularis (black-legged tick). RNAcentral's name for it is "microRNA mir-286". The record is from RNAcentral. Lineage: Eukaryota; Metazoa; Arthropoda; Arachnida; Ixodida; Ixodidae.